RNA transcript from Tympanuchus pallidicinctus (lesser prairie-chicken), 12687 nucleotides. It is a transcript of the gene named AGBL carboxypeptidase 1, with no coding region annotated. Lineage: Eukaryota; Metazoa; Chordata; Aves; Galliformes; Phasianidae. The transcript is spliced from 33 exons. The record is from RefSeq and is a predicted model, not a curated record.
UGUGCGUGUGUCUGGGGAUCUGUGUUUAGCUUCUUCGUUUCUUAAACAGCACAGGGGCAGCAGCCAGGCACGCUUUCUGGCUGCAUUGUUUGCUGCUAGCGAGAGAGAUUGUGAGUGGGGAGCAGCAUGGCAGAACAAGAAGCCAGUGGCUUGAAAGUCCUUCUUUCCACCCUCCAGAGCUCCUGUGACAAGGAUGUCCUCCUGAAUAUCCUCAGUGUCCUCACUGACCUGCUCUCUUUAGGGACUGGACGAAGAAUUCACUAUGUGAUCAGCAAAGGGGGUAGUGAGGCACUGCUGCAGGCCCUCAUCUCUGCUGCCCGGACCGAGCCACCCGACCCCAGCAUCCUCCUGCCUCUGCUUCGCCUCCUGGCCAGGGUUGGCCAACAAGACCGGAAGUUUGGGAUUAAAGUGCAGAAAGCAGAAGCAACUGAUGUAAUUCUGAGCUUGACGAGGCAAAACCUGGGUCACCACCUGAACCUCACCCACUGCCUCUGGGUCCUGCGGGUUUGUGCUUCUAAUGUUGCUGCAGGAACCACGCUUGGCAUCAAUGGAGCCAUGGAGCUGCUUUUCAAAGUCAUCACUCCCUACAGCAAGCAGCACAUCAGGACUGUAAGGGCAGCCAUUGAGGCUCUGGCAGCUUUGCUGAAAUCGAAAUCUAACAGCCGACAAGCAGUGAACAGAGGUUAUCUGGGUGGAUUGCUGAGGCUCUAUCAGGACUGGCAUCACAACGAUGUCUCCAACAACUACAUUUAUAUUCGUAGAGGUCUCCUGCUCUGCCUAAAGCACAUCACCAACAUCCAGCUGGGCAGGGAGACUUUCCUUGGUUCUCGAGGUAUGGAGAUUCUCUUCACAAGCGUGCAGGACUGUUUAUCUUGCAAGAAUCUGGAUCCAAUUGUAACCACUGUGACUCAGAUUCUACGGAAGUGCUACCCCAAGGAGCCUCUGCCUCUGGUGACAGUGAGAAGUUGCUAUUCCUUCCCUCUUCCUGGGAACGUCAAGACUGAACGUCCAUGUAUGGGAUCUGAAGGUAAAUUGCUGAAGGAUGAUAAUGAAAGUGAUAGUGAGGAAGACAUGGAGAAAGACCUGAAUAAAGAUGAUGUGGAGGGUAAAGAGGAAGAUUAUGAUUUGGAGACAGAUGUAAACAAAUUGAGGUCAAGGCCAGGGCUUGACCGGCCAGAGGAAGAGCUUGGGCAAUAUGAAGCUAUGUGUCCAGAACUUUCCCGUAAUUUUCAGGAGUUUGAUUCAGAGUCCGAAGAAGAGAAGAAGUCAGAAGACAGGGCUGAGAAUCUUCCCUCCACUUCAUCUCAUUUCAUUCCAAGUGGUAAUUCUGUGAAAGAUCCAAACCAUAGAUGGAGGACCCAAAGUGACACAGAGGCAGAAUCAGAUCCACGGGAGAAGGAUUUCAAAGCUUCACUGCAGAGUUCAAUAAAGAAGGAGAAAUGCUCAAGGAGUCUGCUCAGUGAAAAGAGAGAGAUUGCUGAAACAGUCCAAAAUGCAAAUUCCUAUGAAGAAGAGCCAGCCAAGAGUCAUACAUUUUCUCCAUGUCCCCUCCCCAAAGAAGCUGCUUGGUACAAAAAAAUAUUUAACCCUGAGUGUGAGGCUUCAAUUGAUCCUACUUCUGGAGUCAGAUCAGAGACCGCAGAAAUAAUGACAGACCUUCUGGAGGAACACCAAGGGAAUAUUCCAUUCCACAGCCCUCACUUCUACAUAGCCAGGGCCAAAUGUACCAAGUCCAUACCAGCCUACAGAGACUUGGCAUUCCCUGAUUUCUGGGGCCACCAGCCUCCUGUUUAUGGCACGCCCAUGCUGGAUCGGCAAUAUGGAGUUCAAAGGGACAAAGUUCUUGAUGAUAUUCGUCGCUUAAUCCAGCCUUGUGAUUUGAUUGGAAGAACUGUUUUUGAUUUAGAUGAGCCCAGUCACUCAAGCCCAGGUGCUCCAAGCUGUCUGACAUUCUUCUCCAAGUUUGAAUCGGGUAACCUUCGCAAAGCCAUCCAAGUGCGUGAGUUUGAGUAUGAUUUAAUUAUGAAUGCAGAUGUGAACACCAGCCAGCAUCACCAGUGGUUCUACUUUCAAGUCCGUGGCAUGAAAUCAGCAGUUCCCUAUCGCUUCAAUGUUAUCAACUGUGAGAAGCUCAAUAGCCAGUUUAAUUACGGCAUGCAGCUGGUUCUGUAUUCAGUGAAGGAAGCUCUCCAGGGCAGGCCUCGCUGGCUUCGAGCAGGACAUGAUAUCAGCUACUACAAAAACCACUACCGCUGCAGUGCAGCUCCAGGAGGAGGCUCAAGAGGAAAAUGCUAUUACACUCUCACCUUCAGCAUCAAGUUCCCUCACGAAGAUGAUGUCUGCUAUCUGGCCUACCAUUACCCCUACACCUACUCUGCAAUGAUGUCCCAUCUUGAUGUCCUGGAACAAAGCAGGAACCCCAAGAAGGUCUACUGGAGGCAACAAGCGCUUUGCCAGACACUAGGAGGAAAUACAUGCCCAUUGCUCACAAUCACUGCUAUGCCAGAAUCUAAAACAAGUGAUGACUUGGAACAAUUCUACAGUCGUCCUUAUGUCUUUCUGAUGGCCCGUGUUCACCCCGGUGAAAGCAACGCCAGCUGGGUAAUGAAGGGGACCCUGGAGUUCCUGGUGAGCAGUGAUCCCAUUGCUGAUCUCCUGAGGAAAUGUUUCAUUUUCAAGAUUGUCCCCAUGCUCAACCCUGAUGGAGUCAUCAAUGGCAACCACCGUUGUUCCUUGAGUGGAGAUGAUCUGAACAGACAGUGGCUGACGCCCAGUUCUCAACUUCAUCCAACAAUUUACCACACCAAAGGUCUUCUGUAUUAUCUGCGCAGCAUCGGCCGGGCCCCUCUGGUAUUCUGUGACUACCAUGGCCACUCCCAGAAAAAGAAUGUGUUCCUCUAUGGUUGCAGCAUCAAGGAGACUUUGUGGCAAGCAGGCUGCAUGGUUGACACAGCAGUUAUCACAGAAGAUGUUGGCUACAGGACUCUUCCUAAAAUCCUGGACAAAGUGGCCCCUGCGUUUGUCAUGAACAGCUGCAGCUUCCUUGUGGAAAAGUCCCGCAAGUCGACGGCCCGGGUGGUGGUGUGGCAGGAAAUGGGUGUGCUGAGGAGCUACACCAUGGAGAGCACGUACUGCGGCUGCAGCCACGGCCUCUACAAAGGCUUGCAGCUGGGAACUCAAGAGCUGGAGGAGAUGGGAAGCAAGUUUUGCCUUGCUCUGCUCAUUCUGCACCUCAAAUCCUUGCCCUGCAGCAAGAAGGUGAUGGCUCAGGCAGCGCUACUCCUAGAUCUGGAGGAAGAAAUAACAAUAACAGACCGGGCACAAAGAUCUCCUGUGUGUUGCUGACUGAGUCACUUAGCCUUGGCUCCCAGCCUCAGUUCUGAUGCGAAACCAGAGCACGGUGUUGGUUCCUCAUAGCAAAUACAGCAAGGCACGAGUGACAUGGGUCAUGUUGGUCACUUGUUACAGCCAUGCUGGGACGUGGGAGCUUGCAUUGUUUUAUGAUCGUGAGCCUGGGUCUCCAUUAUGAUUACACUGCAAUGAGUGCCGAGACUGUGCCUGGAAAUUGGAUCAUCUGAGCCUUGAACAAUACCUGCUGCUUUUCCCAAUGAGUCAGAAGCCAGCCUACUUCUGCAGAGCUUCACCACCAUGUUUGGACCCAGGUGCAGCCCAGACAACACUGAAACCCUGGAAAUCUGCUGGCAGUGACUAAUGUUCCUCUCCUUCCCCCUCUGUGCUGUGGUCCUGUUUACCCAAGAUUCUGCCAAGGCUUCCAUCGCAGACAUGAAGAAAUCUGGAAAGCCACCUCCACGCCCUGACGUAGCACUACAGCAGAGCCCUGAAGUGGCAGCUGUGAAAUGCAGAACAGCCAGACAAAGCUGGUAACAUGUUUGUACAGCCCAGGGUGUCAGGAGGAAUCAGCUCCACGGAGCAGACAAGGAGACCGAGAAGUGAAGUUUUAGGUUCUCUCCUUGGUUUGCUACAUUGCAAAGCAAGCUGUCCUCGAGUCCUCUGGGAAGUCUCUGCACAACAAUUAUCCCUCUCUUCGAGUCUGAAACGGAAUUACUGCACAGGAAUCUGGCGAGGUUCAGAGAAACACUGAAAGAUUCUUGCAUUAGAGACUUCAAAGUGUGACCCUGUGAAUGCCAGAGGCCAGCUAGCACCUUCCUGCAGAAGCACGUAUCGGGUCUUGACCACAGAGGGUGGUUAGUGUGCAGCACUGCAGUACGCACAACCCAACCUGCUGCAAAAUUGCUCCCCGAGAUGGAUCCCCUCCAUUGAGGACAAUGUGGGGCACAACGCUGUGCUUGGGAAGAUGCUUUCCUUUGAAAUAAGGCUGAGCUACAAGGAAAACUGCCUGCAGAAGAGCUUUGCUGAAUUUAAGUGCGCAGAGCUCUGGGGCAGAUGAUGGAGUGGUGUUCUCACCCUGGCCUGGAGAUGAACCUGUCUGUGAAGAGAACUAGAGACAAUUUCUCCAUUACAUAACCCGGCCUCAACUCCGCUGAAGCUGUUAACAAAGGGCUAACAGCACGGUUUUGUGAUGUGAUUCCUUUCCAAUUGCGGCUGGAUCCAGAGAAGGUGUUUUAAAGCUGCUGCACAGAGGUACUGAUCUUGCUGUACAUGGAGGAGUCCCCUGGUGUAACGCCAUCUCUCUGUUACUGUCUGUGAUGAACUCGUAAAACAAGGGCUUACAGAUUUUGUCACCAUACGAGAAGCAGGGUCACAGACACAUGGUAUCAAACACAGGCUCCUUCCUCACCUGCUGACCAGAAGGACUCAGCAAUAGUUUAGAACUGUAAGUAAUGAUAUGUUCCCGCAGCUGGCAAUGAAAUAAUCAGGAUUAAGCCCCAAAGGCACAGUUAAAACCAUGCAGCUCACACUGCGGUAAAGGGGAAGAAAACAAUCGGGUGUUUACUUACUGAGCUGUUAAUGAAGUGGUUUUUACUCUGACUAAUCAAAGCUCUUGAGGUGGGUGGUGUUUUGCCUGAAGAAGAGAGGGAGACUUCUGGUCUCUGUGCUUGGAAGGAGAGUAAGGAAGGAACUGCAGGAAGAUAAAAAGAUCUUCUGGCACUUGAAAUAUAUAAAAAUUCUGUGAGUGAUGACCUCUUUAAGGUUCUGGCAUGCAGAUCUCCACACAGACAAGAUCAACCAUUGAUGGAUAGUGCUAGGAGGGUGAGGAGGUUGACGUAUGCUGGCUCCAGAAGGAUCUGAGCCAGGUGCUGAGCUUUGAGACAGCUGGAGCCUGAAGGGAACUAAGCAGCUGUAGAUCUCCAUCCGUACUAUCAAGGACGUGGUCACACAACUAGGCAAGAUUUGUGUCGCUGUCUCCAAGUAACCCUUUCCUUUAAUCCCAGUAAAGGUCAGAAAAGAUGCUGUAUUGGUUUGGGAACUCAUGAACAUGAAGCUUGUUCCCCUCUCUCCACAGUGAAAAGCUGUAUGGCCCCCUGCUUGUCAGACACAUCUAUGCCUUUUCUGUGGUGCUGUCCUGCAGCAUUCUUCAUGUGGGUGCUCUCAGGUGCUGCCAUUUCCUCUCUUCUCCUGCACCAGAGCAAUACGUGCCUUCCUUGCCUUGUGGCUAUGCUUUGUCUGCUCUCAGCCUCAGUGACUCAUUGUAAAAAAUGAUCCAGUUUUCAGAAAGCACAGGGUUCUGUGUCCUCCACUUAAUUAUUGUUUUAUUUUAAUAAGCAAUUAUGUUUCAGAGGCACCUCAGAGCUCCAGGCGUUAACCACUUAUCACCUGCUGAGUGAUUUAGAACUAGUGAAGCACAUCCCAUUUGCAGGUUGGAAUAAGGCCUGAAUCCUAUCAGCAGACAAAUGAGUUCAGAAAAGCUCAAUGUUUGUAACUCCAUUGCUUAGGGAUUCAUCCCCAGGUCCUCAGAGAGAGGCUGAGUGGGCUGGAGGAGCUGUAGGGAUGUCUGUUCCCUUGUUGUUCUGAUAACAAGCAAAGGGCUCAUUAGAGGCUGUGAAAGGGAGAAGACUAUCUGUUGGUUGUUCUAUACAAUUUGCUUUGCCACAGGUAUUCCGUAAGUCUCUCUCAAUUACAGACCACAAAACCCUAGUUGCUCAAUCUACCUACAGCUUGGGGUUCAGUGUGCGAGGUGACAACCUCCACAGUGAGAGGGCAGGGCAGGAAGGCAGUGAGUUUCAGCUCUAGAACUGAUGUCUCUCAGAGCUGAAAUAUUAAGUACAAUUAAUGGUUUCUUCUCAGGACUUAUCUUCCACCACUAAGCCAUUUGUUGAGCUUCCUCCAAGAGCCUGAAACAAACUGGCUACAGCAAUUUGCAAGAAUAAACCUUGAGCGUUUCCAUGGACUGCAUGGAAUCUGAGCACAGGUAUCUGAUAGGGGUGGAUGGGGCUCUUGAGCACCUGAUCACAUGUAGGUGUCCCUGUUCGUUUCAGGGGAGAUGGACUAGAUGGCCUUUAAAGGUUCCUUCCAAUUCAAGUGAUUCUAUGAUUCUACCUUGAAGAUAAACCUGGGUUAUCAAAUACUGACUGGCUUUCUCCUGCAGCUUUUAUGACCUAAAGGUUUCUUUAUUGUCCUCCCACAUCUCCAUGACUUCCAGGUGGCACAGUUGGAAGCCCAUUCAAAAAUAUAAUCCCAUUACAUCUUCUCGUUUUUAAUGUAUGACAUAAAAAAACUAUGCAGCAGGUAGGCCUGCAUUUAACUCCUCGGUUGGAAGGUUCAGCAGCUCAGCCCGUGCAUGCUAUAAAGAAUUAUUAUUGGCAUUAUCUACUGUGUUUGUCAGCACAUGUGCCAUAUGCUCCAAGGUGUAUGUCCUCCACUGAGUCAUUUUACAUCUUCCAUAUGGGGUCUGUCCUCAAGGUUCCACACAGACUCUGAGGUAUUGAGGCAAUAAUGAGAAGGGUAAUAAAUGCAAUAAGGGAAAAAUAGGGCUGAAUCUUGCAGGGAGUCCCUGAGCAGCAGGAAUAGGAGGCUUCUUAAUUCAUUUCCUCCUCUUAUGUUUGGUGAUACAGAGCAGAGGAGGGGUGGGAACAAGACAAGGAUAUUAGAAAAGGAGAAUCCCAUGUCCUUAUUGAGGAGAACGUUUUCCUCCCACUUGCUGCAUGAGGAAUCCUUUGAGUGUAGUACAUUUGAAAGAGUCUUACCUAUGCUGCAGAUGCUUAUUCAAAAUCAUUGUUGCUCUGAAUUAAGGUGAAGAGUACAAUUAUCACUAGCUGUGUCCCCUAAAGUAACUUAAGCUGUUCAGCUGUUGUUUCAAAGCUCCAAGCCUGUGGUCCUGCUCAUUUUCUUCUCCAUAUUGACUUUUUUUUUUUUUUGCCAGAAAUAAGGAGGCGAGCUUUCUUUUUGGGGAAACAGCCAUUUCUAAGCAACAACCAGCCUGAAUUACAUCGUAGCACCCCUUAUGUUCCCACCUAUGCACCAUCAGAAUGAGCCCAACAAGAAGCCUCUGUUCUCUUUACUGUGAUUUUUUGCCUCACCUGUCCAUCUGACCUUCCGCUGUCUAUUUCCUCCUGACCCUAUCUACUCUGAUUUAGAGACUGAUGUUUCCAGUAUAUCUCUUGACAGAAAGAGCAGGAUUCCCAGAAGAGACUCUGUCAGUGCCCAGAAAUGUAGAUUUUGCAGGAGGUGGUCCAGCAAGGUGCAUUUAGGACUUGUUUAUUGCUGGAUCGUUCCUUUCCAGCCUCAGGCCCCCUGGAGCCAGGGAGCCUCAGCUUUUUUCUGCAGCCCUCCUGAUACUCCAGUUUGGAUUUGGGAUGCAGCUCAGCAAAGUUUACCUGUCAUAUCCACAACAAGCUGGGGAUGGCAAUGCUAAUAUUGCAACAUCUUUAGCAGAGCUCGAUGAUAGCAUUUGACCCAAAUUACAAAGGGAAAAGAAGCAGCUCUGUAAAAACUAAAAUGUCUCUGGUCGACGAGUUCUAUUGAAAACAAAAAAAAAAGCUAAGAAUGAAAGGGGCACAUUCUGAUUUCUCUCUUGUCUUAGUGUGAUGUUAUGGGGCUCAGCUAAGCAAUCAUUGCAUAGACCCCGAGGAAUCAGACUAUGUUUGCUGAGAAGGCAACCUUAUGCUUUCAUGGCAGCAGGAGAAAGAGCAGUGUGAAUAGGAUUGCCUAGAAUCAGGUCCCCUUCUCUCUGCUGGAAGCUUAGGGAGAUUGGAAAUGUACUUUAAAUCAAAUAGAUGUACCUGGGCUUUCGGGUUGUGUGGCAUUUUAAUUUUCGUACCCUUCCUUAGAGCUUAACUCAAUGAAGAGAGCGAUGAGAAAUGCUCUGGGACUGACUUGUGAAGACCUGAUGGGGUGUAAAGUAGUGAGUAGACUUGUCAAGGGAAGAUUGUUCAGGGCUAAAUUAAGGUGAGAAAAUAGUGGAUGUACUCACCUUAAGUUGAAAAGUACUCAAGAGUUCCUUGGGUGAAGAUAUUCAGCUGCUUGUUAACAAUACUUACCUUAUGAUCUAUCAACAUUUGUGAAUGCAUCCCUUUACAUACUUUAUGUACAGUCUAUGCAUGUCCUCCAGGCUCACUAUUGUGUUUUCCUGCAACUAGAAAGCAUGGUUCUUUUGAUACACAACAUAAUCUUUGGACAGCUGAAGGGACUCCCUUGCUCCCAGCGCUCAGGGCAAUAGUGAAAUAUUUGCAGUUCAGUGGGAGAUGCUUCUAGGCUGCAUUAAGGAGCAGCAGCCACUAUGUGUGGGAAAGUUAUACAGGCAUCAGUUUAUGCUUGAAGAUCCUGAAAUUGCACAUGUAAGCCAGAUGGAGGUGCGUGGCUUGGCCUUGCAGACACGUAGAAGGUACAUGUCUGAGUUGCACCUGAGAAUGACCCAGAGGACUCUGAGUGAUGUGAUCCUUUAGAGAGAAUAGUGAAAUGCAAAUAUUAGAACUGGAAGUGAAUCCUCAUGAGGUCUUACGAUAGUAAAAAUGUUCUCCUCAUCCUUGUCCUAUAGUUGCAGUAUGAACACAUUUCCUUGAACGUUUCUUCACAUGUUUUUGUUAUUGCUGAAGUGAGCUGAUGUUUUCAUGGUAUUGGUGGAUGUACCUGGGACAGUGCUGAACUACAAUCUCUGUAGCUCAACUUUCUUGUUCCCACUGUUUCUCAACAAGGCUUGGGCAGGGGAAUGGGCCACAGGGGAAUAGCUGGUGAAACAGGAGAGACACCUUGAUACAAGAGCCAUUUGAAGGAAUAUUAAUUAGCAAGCAGCUAGUUCUGGACAAUUGAAUUUCGGCUCCAGAUGUUCUCAUUCUGACUAAGUGCUUUAGCAAAAUGCUUAAUUGAUUACUAUCUCAUGAGCUCUGUGUGUGUGUGAUAAAAACUGAGACUGCUGAGUUAGAGGGGUUGUCUGUUGAUAGCAACACAGCACAGUAUUUCCUCACCUUUUAAAACUUACUCGUUUUUUAUCAUAGGGAAACCGGGCAAGGUUUCAAAAACGUUCUUUAAUUUGUAAUCUUUAUUGUAGUCACCGUGCUGGUUAAAGUCACUAAAGGCCCAAGUAUACAAGGAUGAAAUCAAAUAAAGACACAUCUGUGUUUGGUGUGAAAGGCCUUUGAGCAUUGUUAAAAUGAGGGACUGUUAAUUUAAGGCCUUCUUGAUUUCUGUACAUCUUUAUAACAGGUACAAGGACAGGGGGACAAAUUAAAAAUGAAAUAGACUGUUGGGAUAAAAUGAAAUCAACCUGAGUUUUUGCCCUAGGCUGUAAUUGAACCGGAGCUGAAGUUCAAAUAAGAAUUUUAUUUAUUUAUUUUCAAGCUGGCCUUUGAGCCAAUGAAGCUCAGAAAUGUCAAGCAAGUAGAAAGGGUUGUUACAGCUCACACCUUGGGUGGGGGGGUAGAAUCCAAGUGCUGCAAGGCAAGGGAUGUUUUAUAAUGUGUAAAAUGAUAUUUUGCAAUGAGGUUAGAUGGUGGCAGAGUUUUGACUUGGAUUCUUGCAACUGGAUGGGAUGAGGGUUUGUUGUUUUGUUUUUUUUUUUUCCUACUUUUUUUUGGGGUGUGGGUUGUUUUUGUUUUUGGGUUUUGGUUUGUUUUUUUUUUGGCAGACUGUAUACAACUUCUUGUGAAAUCAUUGAGAUCUCUUCAUUGAAGUUCAGUGGAAGCUGGCUUGACUCUAAUGGAGAUAAUGGCCAUUAAAAAAAAAAAAAGUUUUUUUCAUGAUAAUUAGUAGAUUUGUUAUCAGUUGAUCCAGUGUGGUUUUUCCCUUGGAAAAUGCACUGAUCUCUAUGGAAUAACCCCUGAGUUUUUGGUCUCAUUCCUUUUGCAUACUACAGAACUUCUACUGAGUGCCGUAGAAUAAAAUUUGUUCCUAAAGAAAUGCGAGGGUUUUUUCCCAAAAGCACGGAACAUAAUUAAUGGAUGUGACUUCUGCACCAAAAAAAGUCAUAUUGGUAGGUAAUAUUAGUGUAUUGUGCUGGGAGAGCAAUUGUAUAUUUUAUUUUGCCUUUCCAGAGUUGCUUGGCAUGAAUUUCUGCAGCAUUAUGAAGCUGUUAUGAAGACCUCAGUGCUACUCGUGACCUUUGGAAAAUGUGGGAUUUAAUAAGAGAAAGGGCUCUGAGGUUGAUUUGCUGAAAUACCCACUACUUAUUCCUUGGCAUUUGGUUAUGCCGGAUGCUUUUGUUCCAACUGGGGUUGCUCAUCUGUGAGCAACAAACUAGUGGCACAAAUCCCCAUGCAUGACCUUCACGAUCUUCUGUGGCCUAAGAAGGUUCACACCCCACUUAAUUUGCAGAGACUGUCUGGAUCUUCCAGUCUGACAUCACUGAUGUAUGUGGCAGCAGGUAAAUGAAAAUAAAAGGCCAAUUUGAGGGCAGCUAUUUCUGACAUGAGAAUUUAGGAGUAACGAAUUGAUUCUUUUGAAAAAUAGCUAUUUUUAGUGCUCAUGGAGGGUUGUUUUCUAGGGACUAGUGACAGGCUGUGCUGCCAAUGUGUGUAGGUUGAUUUUGGAGAAGCAGCCAGCCAGUUUGUAUGGGGGCUGAUGUCUUGCAAACUCAUGAGAGCAUGCUGGCACAGGAGACUUUCUAUUAGACUAGGACAACACAAACUGUAGCUGAACUGUGCCUUUUUACAGAUGGUCCUAAUCCUAAACCUAUUCCAUUUCAAGUUCAACUGAUCCUCGUCCUUUUAGGCUAUGAACUGACUGGCAAGACUUACACCAUCUCAUGGCUCACAUGGGACUGGGAUCCAAAUAUCUAGAAUGUCAUUAAGUCAGAUUUGGGCAUCAAAUUUGAGCCUCUGGCAGCAGGAUGUCAAAUCCUGGGCUGAGCCUCUUCUGGCUUUGAGUUCCCGAGCUCAAAAUGACAGACUGUUCCUACAGCAAGCAAACUGCUGCUCCAAAAGAAGAGAUCAGUGGGAGCAGUUGGGCAUUGACGAGCAAAGGCCGAGUGCCUGCUCCAUGAUGUUUAGGUCUUUGUGAUAAUAAUUAGAUCUUAAAAUGUGUCAAUUCUGUAUAGGGCAAAUCAUCAGCAUAGGCCAGCAGCCUGUUUCCAUGGGAGUGAGUGUGUCUGCUGCUGUGUGACUUGCAUAAGAGCUAGCUAAUGCAGCUGUGACCCUGCAUAGCUGUAUCUCAGCUUGUAAGCUGUGGAAGCAGGAUGGGAAUGAUGUGAAAAUGAAGGACUCUUGCUACCUCCUGAUUUCUGCUGUCUUCAUCACUUCUGACUUUCAUAAAACCUUCCCCUGCAGAGGUGCAGUCAGUGUUGCUGCUAUAAAGGCAGUGAGGAACACUGCCAGUGUCCAGGGGUCCUCAGAGAACAGCUUUCUUUUCCCGUCAGAAAAACUGUGGCUAUGAAUUACCAUUUGUAUGUUGCUUUGAGAGAACAGAAAUGUUACGUCUGUGUUCCUUUCUGUUUCUGCCACUCUCUUGCUACCUCAAUGGUAUUCAUGCUAUGAGGAAGGACGAGACCACUUUCCUUGGGAAAGAGGAGGUAUUGAGGUAACCAGGGAUGAAUGCAGAACCAGGACAAGGAGAAAUGGUCGUAUGGACUGUAAAACUGAGCCAUUGCACUAUACUGAAGUCAAGCUUUCUCUGUGCAUUGAUGCAUCCCUGUUAUUUAGGGGAACCAUGGCAAGCAAAUUCAUUUGUUGCAUAUACCUUCUCCAGACCAAGGAGGGGAAAAUUCUCCUUCCCAUGAUCUCCACUUUAUCAAAGACUGACUCAAUCAUCUCUGUUCAAGAGGAUGAAGAGAAGAAUUUGGUGAUAUAUAGAAAUGGCUGAGUCACGGCCUGAACUACUGAUUGAACACCUGGGGAAAGGACCCGGUCAGCUCUGGAAGCACAGGUGAAGGCAAUUCAGCUGUGUGAUCAGAAGGGGUGGAGCCUGGUUGCACCUCACUUUGCACCUCAUUGAAGUGCUGACCUCCACUGCAGAAGGAUCUCUGGUUGGGGAUCUCCUCCUUGUGCUUUUUUCCUGCGACCAUAGAGAGAUGUUGAAAGCUUCUGGAUGACAGAGCAGGAGAGGCCCUUAUGUUGCAAGGACUCGGUGACCACAAGGGGACCAAAGAUCUCUUCUAGCAAAAACAACAACAACAAAAAAGCCCAAAUUCAGGAGGCAGAAUCCACUGAAGAUGCUGGAAAGCUGCAUAGCUGAAACUGUGAAUGAAAGAGAAGACUGUUUACCAGGCAAUAGGGAAACUCCCAGCACAUGUUCUCAGAAUCACCUGUCUGCAAUUCAGCACCCCGUGGACACAGGCGCAGGCUUGAGAUGAGGCAGUGCAGGCUCUUUUCUGACCCCACAAUGUAUGCAUCAGGGGAC